CCUGAUGAGGUAUUAUAUAUAUGUGCUGUACUGCAGAUUUUGUACUCUACUAAUCUGUAGAGAACAUGGAUAGAUAUAGAAAUGUACAACAUGGUUGUGGAUGUGAAUGAGAUGGGCGUCAAGCAUACAUGCAGAUUUCUGCUAGGUCAGAGAUGAAGAAGCAAGCUGUGUUGGAGGCGCAGCUUGAGCAUUUGCUGUGUCAAAAUGGACCGAGCAAAGCGUCAUGGUGGUAUGUUAGCUUUUGGUGGAACUAAGCUUUUGCAGGAACCAAACUUGUGUUUGUAAUUCUGCUGAAACCUAUCUUUUUUUUUGUUUCUGAUGCUACAAUGGACGGCAAGUGAUACUAGAUGAAAAAAAAUGUAUGUGAUCUGUUGAUUUAAUGCGAUGCUGAAUGGAAAUGUGAUUCAUGUGAUGCUA
Molecule: long non-coding RNA, 417 nt
Organism: Panicum virgatum (switchgrass)
Lineage: Eukaryota; Viridiplantae; Streptophyta; Magnoliopsida; Poales; Poaceae
Exons: 2
Source: RefSeq, a predicted model, not a curated record